CACGUAGGGUGCGAGCGUUGUCCGGAAUCAUUGGGCGUAAAGCGCGUGUAGGCGGCUUCGUAAGUCCGUUGUGAAAGUCCAGGGCUCAACCCUGGAAUGCCGAUGGAUACUGCGGAGCUAGAGUCCGGAAGAGGCGAGUGGAAUUCCUGGUGUAGCGGUGAAAUGCGCAGAUAUCAGGAGGAACACCAAUGGCGAAGGCAGCUCGCUGGGACGGUACUGACGCUGAGACGCGAAAGCGUGGGGAGCAAACAGG
RNAcentral lists this ribosomal RNA (253 nucleotides) under uncultured bacterium. Its description in RNAcentral is "partial 16S ribosomal RNA". It matches the Rfam family "Bacterial small subunit ribosomal RNA", at positions 524 to 776 of the family's 1533-position model. The record is from RNAcentral.